ACUCAAAGGAAUAGACGGGGGCCCGCACAAGCAGUGGAUUAUGUGGUUUAAUUCGAAGCAACGCGAAGAACCUUACCAGGUCUUGACAUCGAGUGACGUACCUAGAGAUAGGUAUUUCCUUCGGGACACGAAGACAGGUGGUGCAUGGUUGUCGUCAGCUCGUGUCGUGAGAUGUUGGGUUAAGUCCCGCAACGAGCGCAACCCCUGCCAUUAGUUGCUACGCAAGAGCACUCUAAUGGGACCGCCGCCGACAAGGUGGAGGAAGGUGGGGACGACGUCAAAUCAUCAUGCCCCUUAUGACCUGGGCUACACACGUAAUACAAUGGCCGUUAACAACGAGAAGCAAAGCCGCGAGGUGGAGCAAAUCUCCAAAAACGGUCUCAGUUCGGAUUGCAGGCUGCAACUCGCCUGCAUGAAGUUGGAAUUGCUAGUAAUCGUGGAUCAGCACGCCGCGGUGAAUACGUUCCCGGGCCUUGUACACACCGCCCGU
Molecule: ribosomal RNA, 490 nt
Filed under: uncultured bacterium
Lineage: Bacteria
Description: bacterial SSU rRNA
Rfam family: Bacterial small subunit ribosomal RNA
Source: RNAcentral